CCUGAAAAGAAAAAACUCAUUUGAUUAGAUCUCAUCCAUAAUCAAUAUUUAAGUGAGGCAUGAAUAUAUGAACAAAGAUCGAGGCCAUGAACUAUUUCUAUAUGCAAUUUAUUAGUUACUUUGUUUGAGACUUACAUUUUAUUAUUGAUUGGUCUUUUUUAUAGGUGACACUCACUUCUAUCAAGGAUCUUGUGUCUGUGUUUCAAAGGAACCAUUUGAAGAUGAAAAUAAGAAUAAUUUUGGGAGGGAACUUUCAGACAAGGUGUUCAAAUAGCCUAAACAGUUUGAACUUGAAGAAUAUUCAUUCAAAAUUCAUCACAAAACAAUUAAAGUACAAAAUUUAACACUAAUUUUAUAUUACACACUCAUGACAUCUUACUAUGUCUAAACUCAUCCUCUAAUAGUGAGUAAAUUAAUAGUUUUCGUUUGAAGUUUAUGACUUUCAUCAAGUUUAUUUGUCUUUCCUUUUCUUUCCUUUAAAAAAAGUUGAAAUCAUGAUAACAUGGACAAUCAAUCAAACUCUCUUCUAUAUUGGGAUUACUACUAACCAAGGAAAUGUAACAAUUUUCAUUCAUAAUGCUUUUUUCAAUUUUUAAUAACAAAGUCAAAAUCUUUGAUUAA
Molecule: long non-coding RNA, 621 nt
Organism: Trifolium pratense (red clover)
Lineage: Eukaryota; Viridiplantae; Streptophyta; Magnoliopsida; Fabales; Fabaceae
Exons: 2
Source: RefSeq, a predicted model, not a curated record